UACGUAGGGGGCAAGCGUUGUCCGGAAUUAUUGGGCGUAAAGCGCGCGCAGGCGGUUUUUUAAGUUUGAUGUUUAAGGCACGGGCUCAACCCGUGUUCGCAUCGGAAACUGGAGAACUUGAGUGUAGGAGAGGAAAGUGGAAUUCCACGUGUAGCGGUGAAAUGCGUAGAGAUGUGGAGGAACACCAGUGGCGAAGGCGACUUUCUGGCCUAUAACUGACACUGAGACGCGAAAGCGUGGGGAGCAAACAGG
RNAcentral lists this ribosomal RNA (252 nucleotides) under uncultured bacterium. RNAcentral's name for it is "partial 16S ribosomal RNA". It matches the Rfam family "Bacterial small subunit ribosomal RNA", at positions 524 to 776 of the family's 1533-position model. The record is from RNAcentral.